AUUGAACGCUGGCGGCAGGCCUAACACAUGCAAGUCGAGCGGAUGAAGGGAGCUUGCUCCUGGAUUCAGCGGCGGACGGGUGAGUAAUGCCUAUGAAUCUGCCUGGUAGUGGGGGAUAACGUCCGGAAACGGGCGCUAAUACCGCAUACGUCCUGAGGGAGAAAGUGGGGGAUCUUCGGACCUCACGCUAUCAGAUGAGCCUAGGUCGGAUUAGCUAGUUGGUGGGGUAAAGGCCUACCAAGGCGACGAUCCGUAACUGGUCUGAGAGGAUGAUCAGUCACACUGGAACUGAGACACGGUCCAGACGCCUACGGGAGGCAGCAGUGUGGAAUAGUGGACAAUGGGCGAAAGCCUGAUCCAGCCAUGCCGCGUGUGUGAAGAAGGUCUUCGGAUUGUAAAGCACUUUAAGUUGGGAGGAAGGGCAGUAAGUUAAUACCUUGCUGUUUUGACGUUACCAACAGAAUAAGCACCGGCUAACUUCGUG
RNAcentral lists this ribosomal RNA (484 nucleotides) under uncultured bacterium. Its description in RNAcentral is "partial 16S ribosomal RNA". It matches the Rfam family "Bacterial small subunit ribosomal RNA", at positions 30 to 507 of the family's 1533-position model. The record is from RNAcentral.